Molecule: ribosomal RNA, 432 nt
Filed under: uncultured bacterium
Lineage: Bacteria
Description: bacterial SSU rRNA
Rfam family: Bacterial small subunit ribosomal RNA
Source: RNAcentral
AACGCGAAGAACCUUACCAGGUCUUGACAUCCAACUAACGAAGCAGAGAUGCGUUAGGUGCCCUUCGGGGAAAGUUGAGACAGGUGGUGCAUGGUUGUCGUCAGCUCGUGUCGUGAGAUGUUGGGUUAAGUCCCGCAACGAACGCAACCCCUGCCAUUAGUUGCUACGCAAGAGCACUCUAAUGGGACCGCUACCGACAAGGUGGAGGAAGGUGGGGACGACGUCAAAUCAUCAUGCCCCUUAUGACCUGGGCUACACACGUAAUACAAUGGCCGUUUAACAGCAGGAAGCGAAGGCGCGAGCCGGAGCAAACCCCCAAAAACGGUCUCAGUUCGGAUCGCAGGCUGAAACCCGCCUGCGUGAAGUUGGAAUUGCCAGUAAUCGCGAAUCAGCAUGUCGCGGUGAAUACGUUCCCGGGCCUUGUACACACCG